RNAcentral lists this ribosomal RNA (811 nucleotides) under uncultured Staphylococcus sp. Its description in RNAcentral is "bacterial SSU rRNA". It matches the Rfam family "Bacterial small subunit ribosomal RNA", at positions 104 to 896 of the family's 1533-position model. Lineage: Bacteria; Bacillati; Bacillota; Bacilli; Caryophanales; Staphylococcaceae. The record is from RNAcentral.
GGGUGAGUAACCACGUGGAUAACCUACCUAUACAGACUGGGAUAACUUCGGGAAACCGGAGCUAAUACCGGAUAAUAUUUUCGAACCGCAUGGUUCAAAAGUGAAAGACGGUCUUGCUGUCACUUAUAGAUGGAUCCGCGCUGCAUUAGCUAGUUGGUAAGGUAACGGCUUACCAAGGCAACGAUGCAUAGCCGACCUGAGAGGGUGAUCGGCCACACUGGCAACUGAGACACGGUCCAGACUCCUACGGGAGGCAGCAGUAGGGAAUCUUCCGCAAUGGGCGAAAGCCUGACGGAGCAACGCCGCGUGAGUGAUGAAGGUCUUCGGAUCGUAAACACUCUGUUAUUAGGGAAGAACAUAUGUGUAAGUAACUGUGCACAUCUUGACGGUACCUAAUCAGAAAGCCACGGCUAACUACGUGCCAGCAGCCGCGGUAAUACGUAGGUGGCAAGCGUUAUCCGGAAUUAUUGGGCGUAAAGCGCGCGUAGGCGGUUUUUUAAGUCUGAUGUGAAAGCCCACGGCUCAACCGUGGAGGGUCAUUGGAAACUGGAAAACUUGAGUGCAGAAGAGGAAAGUGGAAUUCCAUGUGUAGCGGUGAAAUGCGCAGAGAUAUGGAGGAACACCAGUGGCGAAGGCGACUUUCUGGUCUGUAACUGACGCUGAUGUGCGAAAGCGUGGGGAUCAAACAGGAUUAGAUACCCUGGUAGUCCACGCCGUAAACGAUGAGUGCUAAGUGUUAGGGGGUUUCCGCCCCUUAGUGCUGCAGCUAACGCAUUAAGCACUCCGCCUGGGGAGUACGACCGCAAGGUUG